RNAcentral lists this ribosomal RNA (1488 nucleotides) under uncultured rumen bacterium. Its description in RNAcentral is "16S ribosomal RNA". It matches the Rfam family "Bacterial small subunit ribosomal RNA". The record is from RNAcentral.
AGAGUUUGAUCAUGGCUCAGGAUGAACGCUAGCGGCAGGCUUAACACAUGCAAGUCGAGGGGCAGCGUGGAGUAGCAAUACUCUGACGGCGACCGGCGAAAGGGUGAGUAACGCGUGAGCAACAUACCCGGUAGUGGAGGAUAGUCGAUGGAAACGUCGUGUAAUACUCCGUAACAACAGGGACCGCAUGAUCCUUGUUUAAUAGAUUUAUUGCUAUCGGAUUGGCUCGCGUACCAUUAGCUAGUCGGCGGGGUAACGGCCCACCAAGGCGACGAUGGUUAGGGGUUCUGAGAGGAAGGUCCCCCACAUUGGAACUGAGACACGGUCCAGACUCCUACGGGAGGCAGCAGUGAGGAAUAUUGGACAAUGGCCGGAAGGCUGAUCCAGCCAUGCCGCGUGCGGGAAGACGGCCCUAUGGGUUGUAAACCGCUUUUGUUGGGGAGCAAUAAGGUCCACGUGUGGAUCGAUGAGAGUACCCAGCGAAUAAGCAUCGGCUAACUCCGUGCCAGCAGCCGCGGUAAUACGGAGGAUGCGAGCGUUAUCCGGAUUUAUUGGGUUUAAAGGGUGCGUAGGCGGACUUUUAAGCGUGAGGUGAAAUGCGCGGGCUCAACCUGUGAACUGCCUCGCGAACUGGGAGUCUGGAAUGUCCGUGCCGUGGGAGGAAUGUGUGGUGUAGCGGUGAAAUGCAUAGAGAUCACACAGAACACCGAUUGCGAAGGCAUCUCACGAACGGAUGAUUGACGCUGAGGCACGAAAGCGUGGGGAUCAAACAGGAUUAGAUACYCUGGUAGUCCGCACGGUAAACGAUGGAUGCYCGCUGUUUGCGAUAUAGUGUGAGCGGCCAAGCGAAAGCGUUAAGCAUCCCACCUGGGGAGUACGCCGGCAACGGUGAAACUCAAAGGAAUUGACGGGGGCCCGCACAAGCGGAGGAACAUGUGGUUUAAUUCGAUGAUACGCGAGGAACCUUACCCGGGCUUGAACUGCAGCAGAACGAUUGAGAGAUCAUGAGGUCCUUCGGGACUGCUGUGGAGGUGCUGCAUGGUUGUCGUCAGCUCGUGCCGUGAGGUGUCGGCUUAAGUGCCAUAACGAGCGCAACCCCUCUCUUCAGUUGCCAUCACUUCGGGUGGGCACUCUGGAGACACUGCCACCGUAAGGUGUGAGGAAGGUGGGGAUGACGUCAAAUCAGCACGGCCCUUACGUCCGGGGCUACACACGUGUUACAAUGGGUGGUACAGAGCGUCGGCCGCCGGCAACGUCGGUCCAAUCGUGAAAUCCAUCCUCAGUUCGGACUGGGGUCUGCAACCCGACCCCACGAAGCUGGAUUCGCUAGUAAUCGCGCAUCAGCCAUGGCGCGGUGAAUACGUUCCCGGGCCUUGUACACACCGCCCGUCAAGCCAUGAAAGCCGGGGGCGCCUGAAGUCCGCGACCGCAAGGAGCGGCCUAGGGCGAAACUGGUAAUUGGGGCUAAGUCGUAACAAGGUAGCCGUA